Molecule: ribosomal RNA, 901 nt
Filed under: uncultured bacterium
Lineage: Bacteria
Description: bacterial SSU rRNA
Rfam family: Bacterial small subunit ribosomal RNA
Source: RNAcentral
GGCAGGCCUAACACAUGCAAGUCGAGCCCGCCCUUCGGGGUGAGCGGCGGACGGGUUAGUAACGCGUGGGAACGUGCCCUUUGGUACGGAAUAGCCUCUGGAAACGGAGAGUAAUACCGUAUGAGCCCUUCGGGGGAAAGAUUUAUCGCCAAAGGAUCGGCCCGCGUUAGAUUAGGUAGUUGGUGGGGUAAUGGCCUACCAAGCCUACGAUCUAUAGCUGGUUUUAGAGGAUGAUCAGCCACACUGCCACUGAGACACGGCCCAGACUCCUACGGGAGGCAGCAGUGGGGAAUCUUGGACAAUGGGGGCAACCCUGAUCCAGCCAUGCCGCGUGAGUGAUGAAGGCCCUAGGGUNGUAAAGCUCUUUCGCCUGUGAAGAUAAUGACGGUAGCAGGUAUAGAAUCCCCGGCAAACUCCGUGCCAGCAGCCGCGGUAAUACGGAGGGGGUUAGCGUUGUUCGGAAUUACUGGGCGUAAAGCGCACGUAGGCGGACUGGAAAGUUGGUGGUGAAAUCCCGGGGCUCAACCCCGGAACGGCCUCCAAAACUAUCAGUCUAGAGUUCGAGAGAGGUGAGUGGAAUUCCGAGUGUAGAGGUGAAAUUCGUAGAUAUUCGGAGGAACACCAGUGGCGAAGGCGGCUCACUGGCUCGAUACUGACGCUGAGGUGCGAAAGUGUGGGGAGCAAACAGGAUUAGAUACCCUGGUAGUCCACGCCGUAAACGAUGAAUGCCAGUCGUCGGGUAGCAUGCUAUUCGGUGACACACCUAACGGAUUAAGCAUUCCGCCUGGGGAGUGCGGUCGCAAGAUUAAAACUCAAUGGAAUUGACGGGGGCCCGCACAAACGGUGGAGCAUGUGGUUUAAUUCGAAGCAACGCGCAGAACCUUACCAACCCUUGACAUCC